Molecule: ribosomal RNA, 275 nt
Filed under: uncultured bacterium
Lineage: Bacteria
Description: partial 16S ribosomal RNA
Rfam family: Bacterial small subunit ribosomal RNA
Source: RNAcentral
GAAUCAACGCUGGCGGCGUGCUUAACACAUGCAAGUCACGGGGGCCCGCAAGGGGUAACCGGCGAACGGGUGCGUAACACGUGAACAACCUGCCCUCGUGUGGGGGAUAGCCAUGCUAACGCGUGGGUAAUACCGCCAUACGGUUCUCUUUGGGGAGUCCCGAGGAGAGGAAAGCUCCGGCGCACGGGGGAGGGGUUCGCGGCCUAUCAGCUAGUUGGCGGGGUAAUGGCCCACCAAGGCGACGACGGGUAGCNGGUCUGAGAGGAUGGCCAGCC